CCUACGGGAGGCAGCAGUAGGGAAUCUUCCACAAUGAGCGAAAGCUUGAUGGAGCGACACCGCGUGCAUGAUGAAGGUCUUCGGAUCGUAAAGUGCUGUUAUAAGGGAAGAACAUUCGCAAUAGGAACUGAUUGCAGUUUGACGGUACCUUGUCAGAAAGCGACGGCUAACUAUGUGCCAGCAGCCGCGGUAAUACCUAGGUGGCAAGCGUUAUCCGGAUUUAUUGGGCGUAAAGGGAUCGUAGGCUGUCUUUUAAGUUUGAUGUGAAAUCCUUGGGCUUAAACGGGGCUGGGCAUUGGAAACUGGGAGACUUGAGUGCAGAAGAGGAGAGUGGAACUCCAUGUGUAGCGGUGAAAUGCGUAGAUAUAUGGAAGAACACCAGUGGCGAAAGCAGCUCUCUGGUCUGUAACUGACGCUGAGGUUCGAAAGCGUGGGUAGCAAACAGGAUUAGAUACCCUUGUAGUC
Molecule: ribosomal RNA, 465 nt
Filed under: uncultured bacterium
Lineage: Bacteria
Description: partial 16S ribosomal RNA
Rfam family: Bacterial small subunit ribosomal RNA
Source: RNAcentral